CAGCCGCCCGGUAAUACCGGCGGCCCGAGUGGCGGUCACUAUUAUUGGGCUUAAAGCGUCCGUAGCCGGGUUGGGAAGUCCUCCGGGAAAUCUGGCCGCUUAACGGUCAGAAUGCCGGGGGAUACUCCCAGCCUAGGGAGCGGGAGAGGCCGAGGGGAUUCCCGGGGUAGGGGUGGAAUCCUAUAAUCCCGGGAGGACCACCUGUGGCGAAGGCGCUCGGCUGGAACGCGUCCGACGGUGGGGGACGAAGGCCAGGGGAGCAAACCGGAUUAGAUACCCGGGUAGUCCUGGCUGUAAACGAUGCGGACUUUGUGUCGGACAAGCUAUGAGCUUGUCCGGUGCCGGAGGGAAACCGUUAAGUCCGCCGCCUGGGGAGUACGGCCGCAAGGCUGAAACUUAAAGGAAUUGGCGGG
This 413-nucleotide ribosomal RNA is filed under the name uncultured microorganism. RNAcentral's name for it is "bacterial SSU rRNA". It matches the Rfam family "Archaeal small subunit ribosomal RNA", at positions 459 to 872 of the family's 1478-position model. The record is from RNAcentral.